GAACGUAGCGAAAUGCGAUACUUGGUGUGAAUUGCAGAAUCCCGCGAACCAUCGAGUCUUUGAACGCAAGUUGCGCCCGAGGCCCCCCGGCCGAGGGCACGCCUGCCUGGGCGUCACGCCUCGCGUCGCUCCGCGCGCCCCGCCCGCGGGCCGGCGCGCGGACGCGGAUACUGGCCCCCCGG
RNAcentral lists this ribosomal RNA (182 nucleotides) under Vellozia canelinha. RNAcentral's name for it is "5.8S ribosomal RNA". The stretch from base 1 to 116 matches the Rfam family "5.8S ribosomal RNA", at positions 41 to 154 of the family's 154-position model. From Rfam's summary of the family: 5.8S ribosomal RNA (5.8S rRNA) is a component of the large subunit of the eukaryotic ribosome. It is transcribed by RNA polymerase I as part of the 45S precursor that also contains 18S and 28S rRNA. Lineage: Eukaryota; Viridiplantae; Streptophyta; Magnoliopsida; Pandanales; Velloziaceae. The record is from RNAcentral.